Molecule: non-coding RNA, 299 nt
Organism: Anolis sagrei ordinatus
Lineage: Eukaryota; Metazoa; Chordata; Lepidosauria; Squamata; Anolidae
Source: RefSeq, a predicted model, not a curated record
ACGUAAUUCCAAUUCAUGAAUAUUUUGUGUUUCAGAACAGUCUGUCAUAAACAUUCAUUUCAGCAUAAGAUGUUGCCCACUAAGCAAGCAGCCUUCAAAAAUCAAAUCUUGCCGGAAGAUGUGCAUGAUGCAGUGACUGUUGCCCCACAGAAGAAAGAUUCAGUGAGUGAAGUAUGAAAACAUGAACAAAGUGAUUAGAAAAGAAUCGUGGCUGCAGACAGAAUUUCCUGUUUACACUUUUAUCUUAACAGUUUGAACUUAAUAUUUCUUCUGUAUAGUAUUAAAUUGCUUAAGUUUAA